AUGAGGAAGCGGUCGCUGCCUCGCUGCUACGAAUUCCUCCUCGGCAAAGACCGCGCCCGGUGGCCGCCGGAGGCCAGGCUCAUGGAAGCCGCCCACGACGGCGACGUCCUCGAGAUCAAGAAGGUUGCAAAGGAGCUGGACAAGCACGGGCAUGGGAUCCCCGCGACAGUGGCCAACACGACCUUCCAUGGCGUGAACGCGCUGCACGCUGCCAGUGGCCUUGGCAGGCUGCCGGUCUACCAGUAUCUCAUCGAGGAGGUCAAUAUGGUGGAGAUCGACAAGCCUGAUGCCCAGGGCCAUACACCGGUGGAGCAUGCCCUCACCGAAGGCCACCUUCCUGCCGUCAGGUACCUUCUUGAUCGUGGAGCUGAUCUGCAUCAGCGCCAUAAAGAUGGAACCAUGUCUACUCUUCUUCAUUCAGCUGCAGCUCUUGGGCACUCUGAAAUAGUAAAGUUUCUUCUUUCUAGAGAGGCUGAUAUUGAUGCUCUAUCAUUUUUUGGGACACCACUCUCUGUUGCUGCUCUUAGAGGACAUGCUAGCACGGUCAAGAUCCUUUUGCAGCACAAUGCAGAUCCUAACAAGGGUACUCGUCGGUAUGGACCUUUAGGGAUGGCAAUAGGUAUAUCAUCUGUGUCCUGUGUGAAGCUAUUGAUUCAGGGUGGAGCUAAUGUGAGCGGCGGUAGUCCUUGUGAUAUUCCUUUGGUUGCGGCUGCAGAAAAGGGCUUAACUGAAGUUAUUAAGUGCCUGUUGGAAGCUGGUGCAAAUCCAAAUGUCCCUGACACGUUUGGUAGAUUGCCAAUAGAGUUGGCUGCUGAAUAUGGCACACAGGAAGAUGUUGAGAUUCUCUUUCCUUUCACCUCUCCCAUUCCAACUGUGACAAAUUGGAGCGUUGAUGGAAUCAUUAGUCAUGUGGAGAUGGAAAUCAAACAGCUUGGGGAUGACAAUUUUGUGAAAAAGAGGGUGUCUGACCUGAAACAACAAGCAGAUGAAGCAUUUAGGAAGCAGGAUUAUCUGAAUGCAUCAGUGUUCUACACGCAGGCACUGAGGAUGGAUAACUUCGACGCUAGAUUGUUGUCAAACCGGAGUCUUUGCUGGGCUCGCAUGGGUCAUGGAGAAUGGGCUUAUGAUGAUGCAGAUAAAUGCCAGGAGCUUUGCCCAAAGUGGGCCAAGUCACACUAUCGGCUUGGAGUAGCUCUUAUGUGUAUGAAGGAAUAUGACGGUGCUCAUCACUCCCUCUCGCGCGCUUUACAGCUGGAUCCGGAAAGCCAAGAGAUUAUGAAAUUACUCUUGGAGGUGAUUGAACUGAAGUGA
This 1311-nucleotide ribosomal RNA is filed under the name Triticum aestivum (bread wheat). Its description in RNAcentral is "partial small subunit ribosomal RNA". Lineage: Eukaryota; Viridiplantae; Streptophyta; Magnoliopsida; Poales; Poaceae. The record is from RNAcentral.